AAAGAAUUAGUUAAAUUGGAUAAUAUUAGAUUGUCAGUCUAAAGUAACUAUUAAAAAUUAGUAUUCUUUG
RNAcentral lists this transfer RNA (70 nucleotides) under Desmaulus extinctorium. RNAcentral's name for it is "tRNA-Asp". It matches the Rfam family "tRNA". Rfam says of the family: Transfer RNA (tRNA) molecules are approximately 80 nucleotides in length. Their secondary structure includes four short double-helical elements and three loops (D, anti-codon, and T loops). Further hydrogen bonds mediate the characteristic L-shaped molecular structure. tRNAs have two regions of fundamental functional importance: the anti-codon, which is responsible for specific mRNA codon recognition, and the 3' end, to which the tRNAs corresponding amino acid is attached (by aminoacyl-tRNA synthetases). tRNAs cope with the degeneracy of the genetic code in two manners: having more than one tRNA (with a specific anti-codon) for a particular amino acid; and 'wobble' base-pairing, i.e. permitting non-standard base-pairing at the 3rd anti-codon position. Lineage: Eukaryota; Metazoa; Mollusca; Gastropoda; Littorinimorpha; Calyptraeidae. The record is from RNAcentral.